UACGGAGGAUCCGAGCGUUAUCCGGAUUUAUUGGGUUUAAAGGGUGCGCAGGCGGGGGAUUAGGUCGGCGGUGAAAUAUCAGGGCUCAACCUUGAGAGUGCCGUCGAAACCGGUUUUCUUGAGUGCGGAUGAAGUAGGCGGAAUUUGUGGUGUAGCGGUGAAAUGCGUAGAUAUCACAAAGAACACCGAUUGCGGAGGCAGCUUACUAAACCGCAACUGACGCUCAUGCACGAAGGCGUGGGGAUCAAACAGG
This 253-nucleotide ribosomal RNA is filed under the name uncultured bacterium. Its description in RNAcentral is "partial 16S ribosomal RNA". It matches the Rfam family "Bacterial small subunit ribosomal RNA", at positions 524 to 776 of the family's 1533-position model. The record is from RNAcentral.